GAAAAUGUGCUCAGGAAUGCGUUGUCAGUGUGUAUAAAUACUGAUCCUCCACAAUCACAGUGCAAGCACAGAUUCAAGCUGCAAGUGGAAACUGAAGCCUGGAGAACAUCAGCCAUCACUUUGAUCUGUGUCUGUUGGUUACCGUGCAACAACCAAAACAGCCAGAAUGCAUUAUUACGUUGUCCUCUUCGCUCUGCUCUCAGCCUGCGUGUUGGCCGAUGUCCAGCCUCAGUACUACUCCAUCUCCCCGGCCGUGGGCUCAGCAAGUGGCACAGAGUACAGCUUGACGGGACAUGGAAGGAUCACAGCUCUCAGAGUGUGGGACCAGAACGGCAACUACAUCCGAGGCUUCCAGUUCCGUUACGGCUACA
Labrus bergylta (ballan wrasse) is the source of this 371-nucleotide non-coding RNA. The record is from RefSeq and is a predicted model, not a curated record. NCBI's taxonomy places the organism in Eukaryota, Metazoa, Chordata, Actinopteri, Labriformes, Labridae.